CCCCCCCCCCCCCCCCACACACACACCCUCCAAAACAGGCAUACACACAACUUGGUUAGCUCUCAGUGACUAAUAACCUAAGCUUUAACUUUAUUGCAGUAUCUGUAUUUUGGAGUCUUGUCGAUGGAACGAUUUUGGAGUCUCCUUUCUUGAAGUGCUGCAUUACAUCUUAAAAACAGUUUAAGUCGCUUGAUGAUGUUUUUAUUGUGUGUUCAUGUGUCAAACAUCAACAUACCAUUUUUUGCAAUUUCAAUUCAUACUGCACCUGGCCAGUUGAGCUCCUUUUGUACAUGUCUCAGUCUUUCCUCAUGUGGUGGUUCCCUCUGCUUAUUUCUUGCUUUGGUAACUUUUUUUGUAGCAUCUAACACUUGCUCAUUCCUGGCUUCAGGAGCAGCUCUGUUUCCUCUUUAUUUUGAGAAAUAGGUGUUUUUUUUUCUCCUAGUCUAGGAAUGAGUUUAAUAACACAUCAAAUAGCUUAUCUCAGGUAUGCAGUAUUUCAGCUUUGAGGUGCAGUUCAGUUCAUGGAGAAACACUGAAGGCUGGAAUGACCUUUACAUUGGUUUUGCUCCACUAUUAUCCUACAAAUGCUGUAAUUCUUACAUGCUUGGUUGCUAGUAGUGUUCAGUACAAGCUGCAUGCCAUAUUACAAGUUGACAGCAGUCUGAAUAACCAGGAGAGGUGUUUGUGUGCUUCAGUUUCUUCAGAUCCUUGUUAUCUUGAGGGAGUUCCUGCAAGAUCCUGUCAGCAUCUUCGACAUGCUUUCAGCUGGAGGUCACUCUUUCUGUGUGCCAUUUUGUCGAUGUAAACAGUUUGUUACAGUAAUUGGCAAAGCGAAAAGACAGAGUGGAGUCAUUAAAGGGCCACGCUGUUUCCCCCAUUAUGGAAGCAAGUGUGAUGAAAAAGGUGACACCUAGCACAACACAUGUCUUCACAGUUCACAGCAAAUCUGAUUCCAUGGCUGGAACUUGUAGGAUGCUGUUGGACAUGUUCCUGGGGGCAAGAAGAUCAGUUGAACCUUUCUGGAACAGCACCACGCAUGCACAUCAGGCCACAAACCGUGUACAGUGGAUGAUAAGUAAGAGCACAGAAAGAGAAGGACUAGCAUGCCAAGAUCUGUCAUGAUAGAAAGCAACAUAUGUGCAGACAAGGCACAAGAUCUAGCUCGAGAAGCAUGCUGCGAUCGUCGUCUGUUGGCAUUCUGACCACUGUGGCGUCUUACCUGGGAACAGAAAUGAGUUGGGGGAGGAGGACCAUGAUUUCUCCAUAUCUAAGAAUGCAAGUUGGGUGCAUCAGUGACCACUGAUCAGGCAUGUGCAUCCUGCAUCAGGCCCUCAUCGCCCGUGUUGUGCAAAAGUGAGAAGGUGGUGGUGGGUUUUCAGUUGCAAAUUGUAGGGUUUGGUGGCAGUCGUGCGGUUGCAAGUGUCAGGCUCAGAACUGGAGCUUUCAGUUCAGGCUCCUUGGUGCUUCCAGUCCCAGGCAGACGUGUCCCGGCAUGCGGCCUUGGCUACCUCCCUGCACACGUCUCCAUCCGGCUGUUGAUCAGCCCCCACCAAACCCGCCGGCCCACGGUCUUGCCGCGCGGCCGAGAUAGGGAUAGGUUGUGUGCUGUGUGUUGUCGCCGGCGAGGAGCUUGUGGCCGAACUGAUAGAGCACUAGGCUGGCCUGCCAUUGGCCGCCGGAGGGCAAGGGGGCAGCAUGCUUGGGUUUCUUUAACCUCCGUAAGCUCUGCUUCUUCAACCGUGCUUUGCCUUUGCAGGCCUUGCUGGGUUCGUCACCUGCAUAAUGCAGGAUACAUGGCUGAUGUCUGUAGCUUGCUUAAUUCCCUCUCCAAUUACUACAAUGUCAAACCUUUCUGAUCAUCCGGAUGGAUAAUUGAGUGUGCAUCACUUGGAUAAUAUUGUAAUUA
This is a long non-coding RNA of Setaria italica (foxtail millet), 1906 nucleotides long. RefSeq lists it as uncharacterized. The transcript is spliced from 2 exons. NCBI's taxonomy places the organism in Eukaryota, Viridiplantae, Streptophyta, Magnoliopsida, Poales, Poaceae. The record is from RefSeq and is a predicted model, not a curated record.